GCGCGAUUAGCCCAGCGGGAGAGCACUACCGUGACAUGGUAGGGGUCGCUGGUUCAAUCCCAGUAUCGCGCA
RNAcentral lists this transfer RNA (72 nucleotides) under Streptomyces rubellomurinus subsp. indigoferus. RNAcentral describes it as "tRNA-Val". It matches the Rfam family "tRNA". Rfam says of the family: Transfer RNA (tRNA) molecules are approximately 80 nucleotides in length. Their secondary structure includes four short double-helical elements and three loops (D, anti-codon, and T loops). The record is from RNAcentral. Lineage: Bacteria; Bacillati; Actinomycetota; Actinomycetes; Kitasatosporales; Streptomycetaceae.